AUUGAACGCUGGCGGCAGGCCUAACACAUGCAAGUCGAGCGGUAACACAGAGAGCUUGCUCUCGGGUGACGAGCGGCGGACGGGUGAGUAAUGUCUGGGAAACUGCCUGAUGGAGGGGGAUAACUACUGGAAACGGUAGCUAAUACCGCAUAACGUCGCAAGACCAAAGAGGGGGACCUUCGGGCCUCGUGCCAUCAGAUGUCCCCAGAUGGGAUUAGCAAGAAGGUGGGGUAACGGCUCACCUAGGCGACGAUCCCUAGCUGUUGUGAGAGGAUGAGCAGGCACACGGGAACUGAGACGAGGUCCAGACUCCUACGGGAGGCAGCAGGGGGGAAUAUGGCACUAUGGGCGCAAGCCUGAGGCAGCCAUGCCGCGUGUAUGAAGAAGGCCUUCGGGUUGUAAAGUACUUUCAGCGGGGAGGAAGGCGAUAAGGUUAAUAACCUUGUCGAUUGACGUUACCCGCAGAAGAAGCACCGGCUAACUCCGUGCCAGCAGCCGCGGUAA
This 504-nucleotide ribosomal RNA is filed under the name uncultured bacterium. RNAcentral describes it as "partial 16S ribosomal RNA". It matches the Rfam family "Bacterial small subunit ribosomal RNA", at positions 29 to 523 of the family's 1533-position model. The record is from RNAcentral.